Long non-coding RNA from Oreochromis niloticus (Nile tilapia), 1744 nucleotides. Lineage: Eukaryota; Metazoa; Chordata; Actinopteri; Cichliformes; Cichlidae. The record is from Ensembl.
UUCUGGUUUUGUUUUGUUUUCUGUGUUUAUUGUAUUUGGGUGGGGUUGAUGGUGGGAGGGGAGGGUUGUUCAUAUGUUGAUUUGGCAUUCUUUUCAGUUAUGGUUGUGAGUUGAAGUAUUGAUGUAAUAAAGGUGUGUUAAAGGUCGAAGGUCUCUGUUCCUCUCUGUUCCUCUCUCUCCCUCUCUGUUCCUCUCUCUCCCUCUCUCUCCCUCUCUCUCCCUCUCUGUUCCUCUCUCUUUCUCCCUCUCCCUCUCUCUCUCUCUCUCUCUCUCUGAGUGAAUGGCGGUGUGCAUGGAGCUGGGGACGGGAGUGUCGGAGUGAGUGGAUUUCUGUUUUCGAGUUCCUCUUUUCUAUUUUCACUGUCAGGUGUGUUUAUUUUCUCGACACACGGUUGUUGGUGUGUUUUGUUUGUUGCCGGCUGGUUUGGUAGCUUUUGCUACCGGCUUGGCUUGGCACAAUGCCCGCUGUUGAGGGUGGAGCAGAGUUUGAGAAGCUGACACGCCGUCAUGCUGUCAAACUUAUACCGACUGUAAAUUGCUCGGUGGAGGAAGCUGUUUUGGCUGUAGGAGAGGUGGUGGGCUGUGACAGCGUGAAAUCUGCCUCCCGUAUGAACGGUGCGAUUGUUAUUUUUCUUGAUAAGGUACCUAAAGUUAAUGAGUUGGUGGAAAGCGGCGUCGUCAUUCACGACACCUUUACGCCCAUUCUCCCGUUGGUUAGCCCUGCUAAAAAGGUUACCAUCUCAAAUGCGCCUCCUUUUAUUAAAAAUGAAACUUUAGCCAAGGAGCUGUCACGGUAUGGCCAACUAGUUUCGCCCAUAAAGAUGCUCUCUUUGGGGUGCAAAUCUGUGCUCCUCAAACAUGUUGUGUGUCACAGAAGGCAGGUUUUUAUGAUCCUCAAAGACCCCGCUGGCGAGCUGAACCUGUCUUUCAGUUUCAAAAUAGAGGGUUUCACCUACAUGGUGUUUGCUUCAUCUGAGAGCAUGAAAUGUUUUGGUUGUGGUGGAGAGGGGCAUUUAAUUCGCUCCUGUCCGGAGAGGCUAAGAAAUGCACAGCCAGCGGAUGAUGCCGUUGGAGAGCAGGUCCCAGCCAGGGCUCCUGGUAGGGACACGGCGAUCGCUCAUGCGAAACCUGCUGAGACCGUGGGCGGCUCCACUGAGACCGCGGGUGGCUCCGCCGUAGCUGAGGCAGACCCCGCUGUCGGGGCGCCGGUGGAAAACCGGCUUUUUCCGAGCAGUAACGGGUCUGAUGAAACUGGCAUUUUGAAAAGUGUUGAUGGUGUAGAAACGGAUCUGACUAAUGACCAGUCUGCCGGUUUUUCUGACACCAGUCAGACAGCUGACACGACUCUUGAGUCUGUGUGUGAUGAUCUUUGUGAGGAUGACAACAUGCUUGAUGAGGAUUUGCUGAAGUUGUCUCAAAAGAGGAAGAGCUCUGAACCUGCCCACUGUAGUACAAAAAUGUCAAAAGCUAAGAGAGGAAACAAAACAGGAGAGAGCAGUAUGGAGUCUGAAAGUGAUUUGUCCCUAAGCCAGGAACACCAGAAUCUGUACUCUCCUGCUGAGAUCAGGAAAUUCUUGCAGAAAACCAAAGGCCUCAGGAUGGUGAAAGUGGAGGAUUAUUUUCCAGACCUUAAGCUUUUUGUUGAGUCGUCUCGGGUCUUGACAAAAAAAUCAGGGAAUUUUCUUGAUGAUGUGUUGACAGACCAAGAGAUUUAUCGUUUGAAGAAACUGAUUUUGAAAGUGAG